Molecule: transfer RNA, 72 nt
Filed under: Camelus bactrianus (Bactrian camel)
Lineage: Eukaryota; Metazoa; Chordata; Mammalia; Artiodactyla; Camelidae
Also listed under: 2 other names
Rfam family: tRNA
About the family: Transfer RNA (tRNA) molecules are approximately 80 nucleotides in length. Their secondary structure includes four short double-helical elements and three loops (D, anti-codon, and T loops).
Source: Rfam by way of RNAcentral
GAGGGUAUAGCUCAGUGGUAGAGUGCGUGCUUAGCAUGCAUGAGGUCCUGGGUUUAAUCCCCAGCACCUGUA